CAGGCUGUACAUUGAAGCCAAUGUGACAUAAAACGAACUGAGUGACGUGAAGAGGAGAACGACUGUGUCAAUUACACGGAAAACUCAACUGCAUUCAAAAUUACAGAGAGAAACAUCUUUGAAGCCACAAGGGGAAGAAAGACAAUAUGUUUGUUUGAAGAUGCAACAUCUGGAAGACCAUAAUAAAAAAGGGUCUUGGGGAUUAAAGCUGCAGAAUCUGCUCUGAGGCUAGCUGCCCUUCAAGGUUCUAAAGAAACUUACCAGAGAAUGAAAAUCAUAUCAGGAGCAAUUAGACAAAAGGUCAGCAUAAAUACCGCCUGUAUCCACAGCAUUAUCAUCACCCAAGUGUCUCUUACUUACAGUCUGUUGUGACAAAGUAAA
Molecule: long non-coding RNA, 381 nt
Organism: Dermochelys coriacea (leatherback sea turtle)
Lineage: Eukaryota; Metazoa; Chordata; Testudines; Dermochelyidae
Exons: 3
Source: RefSeq, a predicted model, not a curated record